Molecule: signal recognition particle RNA, 91 nt
Filed under: Stenotrophomonas maltophilia
Lineage: Bacteria; Pseudomonadati; Pseudomonadota; Gammaproteobacteria; Lysobacterales; Lysobacteraceae
Description: signal recognition particle sRNA small type
Rfam family: Bacterial small signal recognition particle RNA
About the family: The signal recognition particle (SRP) is a universally conserved ribonucleoprotein involved in the co-translational targeting of proteins to membranes. Archaeal SRP consists of a 7S RNA and homologues of the eukaryotic SRP19 and SRP54 proteins. In most bacteria, the SRP consists of a 4.5S RNA and the Ffh protein (a homologue of the eukaryotic SRP54 protein).
Source: RNAcentral
CCGUCGGCCCCUCGCGACGCUAGGUCGAAAACCCCGCCAGGGCCGGGAGGCAGCAACGGUAUCGAUCGACGCGGGCGCCGAGGUCAGCCGG